Long non-coding RNA from Notolabrus celidotus (New Zealand spotty), 1090 nucleotides. RefSeq lists it as uncharacterized. Lineage: Eukaryota; Metazoa; Chordata; Actinopteri; Labriformes; Labridae. The record is from RefSeq and is a predicted model, not a curated record. The transcript is spliced from 6 exons.
CUGAAAAUCCUUUUCAAUAUGGCGGAUCGUCUUCUCGGAUGGAGUCUUCAAGUGGAGUAAUUUGCUGAAGUGGAAGCUAAGAAGUGUGCAUCAGGAAUCAAGAUUCAUCUGAUGCAUCAGAGAUCAUCUUUUAUCACAUUUGCUCUGUGGGAGAACCCUUUUUAUUGUGAUUGACCUUGUCAGAGGACCUUUAUUUGACUGAGGAGACAGAUGAGCCAGACAUCACAGACACUCCUGUUGCCCUCGUCAUGAUGGUCACCGAGAGCACCUUGGAAAUGGUCCCCUUCACCCCCGACAGCUUUUCCAUUGCGGUGGAGGACAACAUGAUGAUCAUGAGUAUCUCCAGAUUCUCAGAUGCAUUCGCACUGGUAUUUGGCUUGAUGUAUGUCCUGCACUUGGACUACCCCAGCAAACCCACCAACACUUUUACAUUCAUCCAAAAAGUGGUGAUGGGGCUUGAUGAUGGUAAGCCACUGAAACCCUGCCUACUCAGUCUAAAACAUGACCUGCUCCAGUAAGAGUUGGCAUUGUUGCAAGGUGUGUGUAGGAGAAGAACUACAGCACACCAGUUUGUUUUAAAGAAAUGUUGUUGUUGAAAGCAUCUUAAAGUUUACAGCAGGUGGGUAAUGUUCCGUCAAACAAACUACCUCAGGUGCUCAUGUUUGCACUUUAUUGUUUUCAUACAACACAGUUGUGUUAAAUUAUAAUAACUUCUGAAGUUUCAUUAUGCUUGUCUUUAUCACAGAAGACUAUACAUUUUAUUUACUUGUUUACUUUUCUUUUCUUUUCCAUUUGAAGUAACAUUUUUUUGCUGAAAAUGUACAUGUUUUAAAAUGUAUGUGUUUUAAAAAUUUAGCUGUUUGAAAUCAAGCACUUUGAAGCUCACUUGUGAGCUUUCUUAUUGUGUAUUUUUGUACAAAGAGAUAAAGUUAAGGUCAGCUAAACAGUAGAUAAGAGAUGUUCAUGUGCUCUAUGCUAAAUUUAAUGUUCAGCAAAGGUUUUAAUAUCUUGCUGUGGAUUUAAAAAAAACACUUAUGAUUGUGUUUGAAUUUAAAAAACUGAAAUGAAUAAAAAAAAUAAUUGACCAGUU